GAGAGCGGAACUGCUGGGGGAACCUUCGCCACCCUCUCCCGGGCAACUCUACGGGGAAAGCCCAGCUGCGGACAAGCCAGACUUGUGGUCUUCUGCCAGGGGCGGCAGGCCCUAUCCCCUCUCUGGGCCUCAGUUCCACUCCCCGCACCCCGUAAAAAGAUUGGCGUAGAAGUCGUGGAGGACCUCUCUCCAAGGGCGCAGAGGAGUCCAACACCCAACAACCUUGCUAUGGCCAGCUAAGUGGUUCGCACCCUGAGGACUAUGGUCCUCGGAGGAUGCGUUCGCCUAAGUGGACACGGCUCCCUGCUGAGCCUACCAGCAGGCACAACGAUGAUAUGUGGGGAGCACUCAGGGACCCGCUGUUGCUUUGCCUGGGAGAACACUGGAAAUUUUUCAUCUUGGCCUGGCUCCUUCCCCUCCCUCUCCUUUCUCCUCCCUUUCCCAGCCAGCAGCCUUCUGGGCUGCCUCCCCCCAAGCCAGCUGG
RNAcentral lists this long non-coding RNA (484 nucleotides) under Homo sapiens (human). Its description in RNAcentral is "non-protein coding lnc-CCDC33-6:1". The record is from RNAcentral. Lineage: Eukaryota; Metazoa; Chordata; Mammalia; Primates; Hominidae.